RNAcentral lists this ribosomal RNA (473 nucleotides) under uncultured organism. Its description in RNAcentral is "partial 16S ribosomal RNA". It matches the Rfam family "Bacterial small subunit ribosomal RNA", at positions 333 to 798 of the family's 1533-position model. The record is from RNAcentral.
ACACUCCUGCGGGAGGCAGCAGUGGGGAAUUUUGGACAAUGGGGGCAACCCUGAUCCAGCAAUGCCGCGUGAGUGAAGAAGGCCUUCGGGUUGUAAAGCUCUUUUGUCAGGGAAGAAACGGUGGUGGCGAAUAACUACUACUAAUGACGGUACCUGAAGAAUAAGCACCGGCUAACUACGUGCCAGCAGCCGCGGUAAUACGUAGGGUGCAAGCGUUAAUCGGAAUUACUGGGCGUAAAGCGUGCGCAGGCGGUUGUGUAAGUCAGAUGUGAAAUCCCCGGGCUCAACCUGGGAAUUGCAUUUGAGACUGCACGGCUAGAGUGUGUCAGAGGGGGGUAGAAUUCCACGUGUAGCAGUGAAAUGCGUAGAUAUGUGGAGGAAUACCGAUGGCGAAGGCAGCCCCUGGGAUAACACUGACGCUCAUGCACGAAAGCGUGGGGAGCAAACAGGAUUAGAUACCCCAGUAGUCCCAU